RNAcentral lists this ribosomal RNA (346 nucleotides) under uncultured Rhinocladiella. RNAcentral describes it as "SSU rRNA". It matches the Rfam family "Eukaryotic small subunit ribosomal RNA", at positions 20 to 370 of the family's 1831-position model. Lineage: Eukaryota; Fungi; Ascomycota; Eurotiomycetes; Chaetothyriales; Herpotrichiellaceae. The record is from RNAcentral.
GUAGUCAUAUGCUUGUCUCAAAGAUUAAGCCAUGCAUGUCUAAGUAUACGCAAUUAUACCGUGAAACUGCGAAUGGCUCAUUAAAUCAGUUAUCGUUUAUUUGAUAGUACCUUACUACCUGGAUAACUGUGGUAAUUCUAGAGCUAAUACAUGCUAAAAACCUCGACUUCGGAAGGGGUGUAUUUAUUAGAUAAAAAACCAAUGCCCUUCGGGGCUCCUUGGUGAUUCAUAAUAACUUAACGAAUCGCAUGGCCUUGCGCCGGCGAUGGUUCAUUCAAAUUUCUGCCCUAUCAACUUUCGAUUGUAAGGUAGUGGCUUACAAUGGUUUCAACGGGUAACGGGGAAU